CAGUCGCCGCGGGAAUACGAAGGGGGCUAGCGUUGUUCGGAUUAACUGGGCGUAAAGGGCGCGUAGGCGGAUUUUUAAGUCAGAGGUGAAAUCCCAAGGCUCAACCUUGGAACUGCCUUUGAUACUGGAAGUCUUGAGUCCGGGAGAGGUGAGUGGAACUGCGAGUGUAGAGGUGAAAUUCGUAGAUAUUCGCAAGAACACCAGUGGCGAAGGCGGCUCACUGGCCCGGUACUGACGCUCAGGUACGAAAGCGUGGGGAGCAAGCAGGAUUAGAUACCCGUGUAGUCCCUGUCUCUUAUAC
Molecule: ribosomal RNA, 301 nt
Filed under: uncultured bacterium
Lineage: Bacteria
Description: partial 16S ribosomal RNA
Rfam family: Bacterial small subunit ribosomal RNA
Source: RNAcentral